Molecule: ribosomal RNA, 429 nt
Filed under: Pseudomonadota bacterium
Lineage: Bacteria; Pseudomonadati; Pseudomonadota
Description: Proteobacteria bacterium partial 16S ribosomal RNA
Rfam family: Bacterial small subunit ribosomal RNA
Source: RNAcentral
UGGGGAAUAUUGGACAAUGGGCGAAAGCCUGAUCCAGCCAUGCCGCGUGUGUGAAGAAGGUCUUCGGAUUGUAAAGCACUUUAAGGUGGGAGGAAGGGCAGUAAGCGAAUACCUUGCUGUUUUGACGUUACCGACAGAAUAAGCACCGGCUAACUCUGUGCCAGCAGCCGCGGUAAUACAGAGGGUGCGAGCGUUAAUCGGAUUUACUGGGCGUAAAGCGUGCGUAGGCGGCUAAUUGAGUCGGAUGUGAAAUCCCCGAGCUUAACUUAGGAAUUGCAUUCGAUACUGGUUAGCUAGAGUGUGGGAGAGGAUGGUAGAAUUCCAGGUGUAGCGGUGAAAUGCGUAGAGAUCUGGAGGAAUACCGAUGGCGAAGGCAGCCAUCUGGCCUAACACUGACGCUGAGGUACGAAAGCAUGGGGAGCAAACAGG